RNAcentral lists this transfer RNA (81 nucleotides) under Xenorhabdus eapokensis. Its description in RNAcentral is "tRNA-Glu". Lineage: Bacteria; Pseudomonadati; Pseudomonadota; Gammaproteobacteria; Enterobacterales; Morganellaceae. The record is from RNAcentral.
CAACUAGUUGGUUAUGGUUAGCGGUGUCGGGAUGUUCUCAGCAUCCCAAUACCGCGUGAGUUCUGCCUCUUCUUUAGUUGC